Molecule: ribosomal RNA, 753 nt
Filed under: Pediococcus acidilactici
Lineage: Bacteria; Bacillati; Bacillota; Bacilli; Lactobacillales; Lactobacillaceae
Description: bacterial SSU rRNA
Rfam family: Bacterial small subunit ribosomal RNA
Source: RNAcentral
UUUUUGUUAGGCCGGGGAGGGAAUCUUUCCACAAUGGACGCCAAGUUGUGGAUGGAGCAACCCCGCGUGAGUGAAGAAAGUGUUUCGGCUAGGAAAAGCUUCUGUUUUUUUAAAGAAGAACGCGGGGGGAGGAGUAACUGUUCACCCAGUGACGGUAUUUAAUCCAAAAAAACCACCGGCUAACUCCGUGCCAGCAGCCCCCGGUAAUAAGUUUGGUGGCAAAGCUUUAUCCGGAUUUUUUGGGCGUAGAGCGAGUGCAGGAGGUCUUUUAAUUCUACAGUGAAAGCCUUAGGCUCAACCGAAGAAGUUCAUUGGAAACUGGGACACUUGAGUGCAGAAGAGGACAGCUGAACCUCAUGCGUAGCGGUGAAACUCGUAGAUAUAUGGAAGACCACCAGUGGCGAAGGCGGCUGUCUGUUUUGCAACUGAUGUUGAGGCUUGACAGCCUCGCUGGCGAACAGGAAUUGAUCCCCUGGUAGAACAUGCCCUAGUUGCCGAUUACAAGUCGGGAGGGUUUCCGCCUUUCCCUGCUGCAUUUAAGGCAUUAAGUAAUCCGCUUUCGGAGCACGAAAUGCAAGGAACAAUUCAAAAGAAUUGACGGGGGCCCUCACAAGCGCUGGAGCAUGUGGUUUAAUUUGAAGCUACGUGUAGAACCUCACCAGGUCAUGCCGUCUUCGGCCAACCUAAGGGGAUAGGCGUUCCCUUCCGGACAGAAGUCAGGCGCUUCACGCUGUUUCUAAUCUUGCUUCAGCA